AGCCAAUGGGUUUUUGGUUUGAGUUUGUCUUGCCUUCACCUACUCAACAUGGCAUCUUAUUGGCUGGUUUGCGUAGCUUGCUUACGAGGGGGGAUGUUCCAGUUAGAAUCGUCCCAGUGAACAAGCACCAAACCAGCGAAUAAAUCUACAUGACUGGUGCUACAUGUUGGAGUUCCGUGUCGAUGACUGAUUGUACACAACGCAAGAAGAGUACUGUUACACGCACAGGGGAAAGAAAAGUGUUCCCAUUUUGAAUCAUUUUAUUUGUCUGAAAAGACGAUCUCUGCCUACCUGGUGAACAGGGAGAUCUGUGACUAAAUCGAGUGUGCCUACUGCUGUGGCCAAUACUGUCAAAGAAUACAGCAAAGAGCUGCUUUUUUACGAGAACAACAUGAAUUUGUGCCUGAGGCAGAUGUGGUGCAAUUCGUGUUUCACCAUCAGGUGGAAGAAAGUGUCCCCUCUCUCUGGUCAGUCUCAUCAGAGGAAAGAAAGAGCGGCAGAUCUUGGCUUGCUUUUUGACUCCGAAAGUGAACUUGACUCAGAAAAGGAAGAAAGCCGUGACAGACAUGUUUCAAAUGAUCCCAUUUAUGCUCAACAUAGCCACUGCAUAUGCACACUCACUCCGGAAUGGGAAAAAAUAUCCUUUCUAUUAACUCAGCUAAGUUAAAUUAUAUUAUUCUUACCAUAAAAUAAUAUUUAAAAAAUAUUAGUACAGGACUUAUAAGCAUAUCUUAUGUGUCUUAUGUGCAUAGCCAGAUAACAUAAUGUAGACCAUCUCAUAUUCUAUUCUUCUUAAAUGUUCAUAUCAUAAUAUUUCUUUAGACCUGACUAAAAUAAAUAAUGACUGUACACUCUAAAAAUUAGAGUUUCAAAAAUGGUUAUUCUAUGAUCCUCAAAGUUCUUCAAAGAACGUUCUUGGCACUGAAAAUUGCCCCCAGAAUGUUAUUCUAAGAACCCCAUAAGAGGUGUGGUUCAUCGAGGAACCAUCCUCCCCCCUUACCUCUUCAAUGAAAAUCCCAUAGGCCUCUACAUUACGGACAAGGUAAAUAGUCAUAUGUUCUAAACCGCUCUGGUGACAAACAAACUUUUCUAUCCUGUUUCCAAUCCUCCACAUGGUUGGGUGAACCUAUUCAAGUAAGUAAAUACAUAUUCUAAUUUAAAUGUAAAUAAAACUAUGUAUUGUUAGCUAACCAGCUACAGUGCAGGCUAACUAAAAUGAGCUGAAUGCAUUUGUAGGUAGCUAGCUAACAGCGAUGGAGGAAGGUGAAAGGAUAGCAGCCCCAACUGUUAAAGUGAGAGAGUAGACUAUUCUGGAUAGGGCAGGUACUUUUGAGUAGUUCCGGUCCCUAGAAGUGAGGAGAGACAUAUAUAGACAUAUAUAGUAACAUAAUAUUCAGUGCUGUCUAAUUUGAGCAAAAAGUCUGUUUCUUGUGAUGUUUUCUGUCUUCAGAUACAGAGAGCAGUGAAGCCUGUCUGCAGAUGAAGAGGUCCCAAUGAAGUGCAGAGGUUAUCAGUCCUGGUCCUGGGGACACAAAGGGGUGCACAUUUUUGUUUUUUCCUUAGCACUACAGAGCUGAUUCAAAUGAUUAACUCAUCAUCAAGCUUAAAGGGGUAUUUAUAUUUAUUUGUGAUGCUAUCCUUGAUAUGACAUCUUGUCAUAUGCUACACAUGCAUCCAUCUAUCCAAUGUUAUCAUGAUUUGUUAUUAGUAAUAUUAUACUUUAGUAAUCCACAAAAAAAGAAAGUAUAAUAAUGACAUUAUCUUUCAUAUUCCUAGAUACCUUGCAACUGGAGAUUCCUUCAAAACAAUCUGUCUACAGUUACUGUGUAGGGCACUGAAAGGUUGGGUGACCAGGGCCAUCUGGGACUGCUUUCUGGGGGAAUUGAGGCUUGUGAAGGCUACCCGUGUCCUGCAUAACGGCAGCUCGCCGCCGUGUGCCAGAGGAGAAGUCUGCUGCUCUGCAGGAUGUUUCAAGGGUGCUGGCCAACAACACAGUACUGGAGGCAAUCCGUGUGCGGGAGAUAUUCACCUCCUACUUCUUCGAAGAGGGUGUUGUUUCCAGGCAACACCAUAGACUACACUAUGCACAACCAAAGGCUCUUUUAAGAGCCAUUCACAUUGUAAUGAGAGUAUUCUUCCAUUUACUUAGCUAUGUCAACUGCAAUUAUUUCAAUCCCCAGUUUCUCUCCCUUUGUUUUCUACUUAACAGGUGAGGGUGCUGUUCAGGUAAGGGUGAUGUCUGUACGAAAACAAAAUAGGCUCUUAAGAGUCACCCAUAUUGAAAAUAUUUAGACACCCUAUAACCCACACCUACACACUUGUGUAUCAAUCGGAUUGAUGGAUUGUGUUGUGCAGUAAGCAGGCUCAGGUGUAUAACUGUGUAUAACCUUAUUUUCUCAAUAACAGUCUCUCUCCUUCAUUUCAUGCCUCUCCCCCCUUCUCCCUGAAUCCUCUGUAUCAGCUGUGUCGGUGAACCCAUCCCGCAUCUGAACUGGCGACAUACUGUAGCGUCAUCGUCACCUCACAAGCUCUUAAGAUAACAUUUCGGGCCAACUGGGGGCCCAAGGCUUGUUAGGAGACACCGCUAGACACACUAUUAUGUAACUGUGAUGGAAUUAGAGAAUCUUAAGUUUAGUAGCACUGUAAUUCAUUAAUCAUAUGCUGUCUUCUCUGUUCUCACCAGUUUUUUACACUCUCACACCUCUCUCCCCACCUCUUUCUUCCCCUGUUUUUAUGUAUACCAGAUGUGCAUUGAAGUACAGAUUGAACUUGUAUUUAUAAUAUAAUAUUACAAUUCUAAUAUAAAUAAUGCAUGUAUUAUAUAUAUUUUUUUAUAAUACUUGGAUAAUGAACUUCUUUCAAUAAAGCGUUUCACAUUCUCUA
Molecule: long non-coding RNA, 2883 nt
Organism: Oncorhynchus keta (chum salmon)
Lineage: Eukaryota; Metazoa; Chordata; Actinopteri; Salmoniformes; Salmonidae
Exons: 6
Source: RefSeq, a predicted model, not a curated record